UAUUUUUUAAUCAAUAAACGAUAUAAUGGGCAAAAACAACCUUCUUCGUAAAUUCACACCUUUACGAUACCGAAAACGAGACUGAAAAUGUAAUACCGGAUCUGACGUCACAACCCAUCAUUGGCGGUUUCUUCACAACAAGACGAGAGUAUAAAAGAAGAAAAUAUUCGAAGAGAAAUGGCAAGUAAGAGUAAGGGACGCAUGUGUGUAGUUGUAGGAAGCAACAACAGGCCCUCGGACACCAUUUCCGUCCAUGUUUUCCCGAAGGACGAGCGACAGAGAGCAGCAUAGACUCGAUUUGUGAGACUGACCCGUGCAGACUGGACAGGAUCGUCCCAGUAUACUGUUGUUUGUAGUGGACAUUUCACGGACGGAUGUUUCCAGGCUCAGUUUUCACUGAUGAGAGAAUUUGUAAUUCCUGCGAAAAAACGCCUCUGCUCUGGUGUGAUUCUAUCGAUUUAUUCUAAGAGGAAAGUGGACGACCUCAACCUUGCCCUCCUCUCUUCGCCCGAGCCUAAACCCAAGCGCCAGGCUGCCGUCAAGCUGGAGAAAAAUAGGAAUUCCUCAAGGCUGCAUGACAUAACGAAGGAGGGGGACCAACAAUUUAAAAUCAGCUUCCCGAAGUUCAAGUGUUCGUAGGAAGCCUGUUGAUCCACCAAUUACCCAUCAGUCCUGAUGAAGGAGACUUAUUUGGUUUUUCAAGGGUCAUCAGAACCAUUACCAUGCUCAUUGCCAGCUCAACCACCUCCACUGUGCAGUGAAUUUUUCCAUCCUGAUAAAGAAGACGCAGUGCUACAUUUUGCAUUGAGGACAAAACGUAAUACUAGCUAUUUGGACAUUCUAGCAAAGCAGAUAAAAAAUAUGUUGGUCAAACAGAUGUGCUCUAUUUUAAUCUUGUUUAAAAAUGUUAAAUCAUUGUGAAACACUUUUAUCUUUGCUUUUGUUUAAAUUUGAACCAAAGUCAUAUAGAGUAGUAGGUUGUGAAAACAAAUUGUGUUAUUUUUUACAAAUAAAAAAAGACUGGGAACAACCAUGAUAUAGGGUCUGACCGUUGGGUAACAAUCUGUUUGGU
This is a long non-coding RNA of Ostrea edulis (European flat oyster), 1072 nucleotides long. RefSeq lists it as uncharacterized. The record is from RefSeq and is a predicted model, not a curated record. The transcript has 3 exons. NCBI's taxonomy places the organism in Eukaryota, Metazoa, Mollusca, Bivalvia, Ostreida, Ostreidae.